AUUGAACGCUGGCGGCAUGCCUAACACAUGCAAGUCGAACGGCAGCGCGGGGGCAACCCUGGCGGCGAGUGGCGGACGGGUGAGGAAUACAUGGGAAUCUACCCUGUCGUGGGGGAUAACGUAGGGAAACUUACGCUAAUACCGCAUACGACCGAGAGGUGAAAGCGGCGGACCGCAAGGCGUCGCGCGGCUGGAUGAGCCCAUGUCGGAUUAGCUAGUUGGCGGGGUAAAGGCCCACCAAGGCGACGAUCCGUAGCUGGUCUGAGAGGAUGAUCAGCCACACUGGAACUGAGACACGGUCCAGACUCCUACGGGAGGCAGCAGUGGGGAAUAUUGGACAAUGGGCGCAAGCCUGAUCCAGC
Molecule: ribosomal RNA, 362 nt
Filed under: uncultured bacterium
Lineage: Bacteria
Description: bacterial SSU rRNA
Rfam family: Bacterial small subunit ribosomal RNA
Source: RNAcentral